Molecule: long non-coding RNA, 677 nt
Filed under: Dermacentor andersoni
Lineage: Eukaryota; Metazoa; Arthropoda; Arachnida; Ixodida; Ixodidae
Description: uncharacterized LOC126548052
Source: RNAcentral
GCGCAUGCACGGCCAUUCCGGCGGCGGCGGGCGCCGCCGCAGCAUACGCGCGCAGUAAGUAGCUGCGAGCGAGCCGGCACGACGAGCCCGGCGGAGAGUGUCCCGAAACCACACGGCUGUCGGCCCUUCUUCCAUUACAACGGGGAAAGUGGCGGCAGGGGCAGCAGAGGACCAUUCACGCAGAACGGAGAGCCGGAAAGCCCCAAGACCAUGAGCGCAGAGACGGCCGCGGCUCGCGCGGUGUUAUUCUGCGCGGCUGCGUACGGAGCAGAGGUGUCUGGCAUCGGCUGCGCCACGUGGCUUGCCGAUUGCCAGAAAAUGCUGCUGCACUAGGGCGGUGUCCUAUAGCAGGUGCUCCUGCCUGUGUCCUGUUCGGGGUUUUGCGUUCCACGACAGCGUGCCUUACCGAAUUCGCGGAUCCUGAGAGUGGGGCCCGCUUGGAACAGCCACAAUCUCGGGCCUUCCUUCUAGAGGCCACGAACGCCUUCGAAAGACAUACACUGCUUGGAGACAAAGACUUAGGGGCAGCCUCAUAACCAAGUCACCAGGGCACAAGACAGUGAAGGUGCCGCCUCGCUGGACUCACUUCUACGGGCCAGUUCAGACAUCCGCAACGCUGAAACAUGUUUUCUCUUUGUAUGAUUCUAAUACACCUUCUAAUAAACUACUCGAGGAAA